GACGAACGCUGGCGGCGUGCUUAACACAUGCAAGUCGAACGGUAAGGCCCUUCGGGGUACACGAGUGGCGAACGGGUGAGUAACACGUGGGUGAUCUGCCCUGCACUUCGGGAUAAGCCUGGGAAACUGGGUCUAAUACCGGAUAGGACCACUGCCUGCAUGGGUGGUGGUGGAAAGCUUUUGCGGUGUGGGAUGGGCCCGCGGCCGAUCAGCUUGUUGGUGGGGUGGUGGCCUACCAAGGCGACGACGGGUAGCCGGCCUGAGAGGUUGACCGGCCAGACGGGGACUGGGAUACGGCCCAGCAUCCUACGGGAGGCAGCAGUGGGGAAUAUUGCACAAUGGGCGCAAGCCUGAUGCAGCGACGCCGCGUGAGGGAUGACGGACUUCGGGUUGUAAACCUCUUUCAGCACCGACGAAGCGCAAGUGACGGUAGGUGCAGAAGAAGGACCGGCCAACUACGUGCCAGCCGCCGCCGUAA
This 478-nucleotide ribosomal RNA is filed under the name uncultured bacterium. Its description in RNAcentral is "partial 16S ribosomal RNA". It matches the Rfam family "Bacterial small subunit ribosomal RNA", at positions 28 to 523 of the family's 1533-position model. The record is from RNAcentral.